Molecule: ribosomal RNA, 468 nt
Filed under: uncultured bacterium
Lineage: Bacteria
Description: partial 16S ribosomal RNA
Rfam family: Bacterial small subunit ribosomal RNA
Source: RNAcentral
GACGAACGCUGGCGGCGUGCUUAACACAUGCAAGUCGAACGGAAAGGCCCUGCUUUUGUGGGGUGCUCGAGUGGCGAACGGGUGAGUAACACGAGAGUAACCUGCCCUUGACUUUGGGAUAACUUCAGGAAACUGGGGCUAAUACCGGAUAGGAGCUCCUGCUGCAUGGUGGGGGUUGGAAAGUUUCGGCGGUUGGGGAUGGACUCGCAGCUUAUCAGCUUGUUGGUGGGGUAGUGGCUUACCAAGGCUUUGACGGGUAGCCGGCCUGAGAGGGUGACCGGCCACAUUGGGACUGAGAUACGGCCCAGACUCCUACGGGAGGCAGCAGUGAGGAAUAUUGCACAAUGGGCGGAAGCCUGAUGCAGCAACGCCGCGUGCGGGAUGACGGCCUUCGGUUUGUAAACCGCUUUCGCCUGUGACGAAGCGUGAGUGACGGUAAUGGGUAAAGAAGCACCGGCUAACUACGUG